UUGAGCGCUGGCGGCAGGCCUCACACAUGCCAGUCGAGCGGAUGAAGGGAGCUUGCUCCUGGAUUCAGCGGCGGACGGGUGAGUAAUGCCUAGGAAUCUGCCUGGUAGUGGGGGAUAACGUCCGGAAACGGGCGCUAAUACCGCAUACGUCCUGAGGGAGAAAGUGGGGGAUCUUCGGACCUCACGCUAUCAGAUGAGCCUAGGUCGGAUUAGCUAGUUGGUGGGGUAAAGGCCUACCAAGGCGACGAUCCGUAACUGGUCUGAGAGGAUGAUCAGUCACACUGGAACUGAGACACGGUCCAGACUCCUACGGGAGGCAGCAGUGGGGAAUAUUGGACAAUGGGCGAAAGCCUGAUCCAGCCAUGCCGCGUGUGUGAAGAAGGUCUUCGGAUUGUAAAGCACUUUAAGUUGGGAGGAAGGGCAGUAAGUUAAUACCUUGCUGUUUUGACGUUACCAACAGAAUAAGCACCGGCUAACUUCGUG
RNAcentral lists this ribosomal RNA (483 nucleotides) under uncultured bacterium. RNAcentral describes it as "partial 16S ribosomal RNA". It matches the Rfam family "Bacterial small subunit ribosomal RNA", at positions 30 to 507 of the family's 1533-position model. The record is from RNAcentral.